GUAUUGGCCUACCGUGGCAAUGACGGGUAACGGGGAAUUAGGGUUCGAUUCCGGAGAGGGAGCCUGAGAAACGGCUACCACACCUAAGGAAGGCAGCAGGCGCGCAAAUUACCCAAUCCUAAUACAGGGAGGUAGUGACAAGAAAUAACAAUACAGGACUUUAACAGUUUUGUAGUUGGAAUGAGUUGAGUAUAAACCCCUUUACAAGUAUCAAUUGGAGGGCAAGUCUGGUGCCAGCAGCCGCGGUAAUUCCAGCUCCAAUAGCGUAUAUUAAAGUUGUUGCAGUUAAAAAGCUCGUAGUUGGAUUUCUGUUAAUAAUUUAUAUAUAAUAUUUAACAUAUUUAUAUAAUAUUAACAUAAUUCAUAUUACUAUUUAUAGUAUAUGAAACUUUACUUUGAGAAAAUUAGAGUGCUUAAAGCAGGCUUUUGCCUUGAAUACUAGAGCAUGGAAUAAUAUUAAAGAUUUUUAUCUUUCUUAUUGGUUCUAAGAUAGAAAUAAUGAUUAAUAGGGACAGUGGGGGCCAUUUGUAUUUAA
This 535-nucleotide ribosomal RNA is filed under the name Cryptosporidium canis. RNAcentral's name for it is "SSU rRNA". It matches the Rfam family "Eukaryotic small subunit ribosomal RNA", at positions 333 to 901 of the family's 1831-position model. Lineage: Eukaryota; Apicomplexa; Conoidasida; Eucoccidiorida; Cryptosporidiidae. The record is from RNAcentral.